RNAcentral lists this ribosomal RNA (743 nucleotides) under uncultured bacterium. RNAcentral describes it as "bacterial SSU rRNA". It matches the Rfam family "Bacterial small subunit ribosomal RNA", at positions 8 to 796 of the family's 1533-position model. The record is from RNAcentral.
AGAGUUUGAUCAUGGCUCAGAACGAACGCUGGCGGCAGGCUUAACACAUGCAAGUCGAGCGCUGUAGCAAUACAGAGCGGCGCACGGGAGAGUAAUACGUGGGAACCUACCUUUUGGUUCGGAAUAACGUCGGGAAACUGACGCUAAUACCGAAUAAGUCCUUCGGGAGAAAGAUUUAUCGCCGAAAGAUGGGCCCACGUUGGAUUAGCUAGUUGGUGAGGUAACGGCUCACCAAGGCUACGAUCCAUAGCUGGUCUGAGAGGAUGAUCAGCCUCACUGGGACUGAGACACGGCCCAGACUCCUACGGGAGGCAGCAGUGGGGAAUAUUGGACAAUGGGGGCAACCCUGAUCCAGCCAUGCCGCGUGAGUGAUGAAGGCCUUCGGGUUGUAAAGCUCUUUUGGCGGGGACGAUGAUGACGGUACCCGCAGAAUAAGCUCCGGCUAACUUCGUGCCAGCAGCCGCGGUAAUACGAAGGGAGCUAGCGUUGUUCGGAAUUACUGGGCGUAAAGGGCGCGUAGGUGGCUUGGCAAGUUGGAUGUGAAAGCCCAGGGCUCAACCCUGGAAUUGCAUUCAAGACUGCCUUGCUUGAAUUCGGUAGAGGUUGGUGGAAUUCCCAGUGUAGAGGUGAAAUUCGUAGAGAUUGGGAAGAACACCCGUGGCGAAGGCGGCCAACUGGACCGACAUUGACACUGAGGCGCGAAAGCGUGGGGGAUCAAACAGGAUUAGAUACCCUAGUAGUCC